RNAcentral lists this ribosomal RNA (253 nucleotides) under uncultured bacterium. Its description in RNAcentral is "partial 16S ribosomal RNA". It matches the Rfam family "Bacterial small subunit ribosomal RNA", at positions 524 to 776 of the family's 1533-position model. The record is from RNAcentral.
UACGAAGGGGGCUAGCGUUGUUCGGAUUCAUUGGGCGUAAAGGGUGCGUGGGCGGCGCGGUAAGUCGGGUGUGAAAUCUUGGAGCUUAACUCCGAAACUGCAUUCGAUACUGCCGUGCUUGAGGACUGGAGAGGAGACUGGAAUUUACGGUGUAGCGGUGAAAUGCGUAGAUAUCGUAAGGAAGACCAGUGGCGAAGGCGGGUCUCUGGACAGUUCCUGACGCUGAGGCACGAAGGUCAGGGGAGCAAACGGG